Long non-coding RNA from Perognathus longimembris pacificus (Pacific pocket mouse), 155 nucleotides. RefSeq lists it as uncharacterized. NCBI's taxonomy places the organism in Eukaryota, Metazoa, Chordata, Mammalia, Rodentia, Heteromyidae. The transcript has 3 exons. The record is from RefSeq and is a predicted model, not a curated record.
GAGAUCUCAAUAUUUUCCCAUAAAGAAAACAAACAAAAAAGCUUAAAAAUCACCACACUAUGCUUUACCUGUGUCACUGAAAUCUAUAAAUUCCUUUGACAGAAGGUUAGUAAGAAGCUCCAUUAUGAGGAGUAGGUCUUGGUAUUGCUCUUCUU